UACAGAGGGGGCAAGCGUUGUUCGGAAUUACUGGGCGUAAAGGGCGCGUAGGCGGCCUCUUAAGUCGAACGUGAAAUCCCCGGGCUCAACCCGGGAACUGCGUCCGAUACUGGGGGGCUUGAAUCCGGGAGAGGGAUGUGGAAUUCCAGGUGUAGCGGUGAAAUGCGUAGAUAUCUGGAAGAACACCCGUGGCGAAGGCGGCUCUCUGGGACGGUACUGACGCUGAGACGCGAAAGCGUGGGGAGCGAACAGG
RNAcentral lists this ribosomal RNA (253 nucleotides) under uncultured bacterium. RNAcentral's name for it is "partial 16S ribosomal RNA". It matches the Rfam family "Bacterial small subunit ribosomal RNA", at positions 524 to 776 of the family's 1533-position model. The record is from RNAcentral.